This 366-nucleotide ribosomal RNA is filed under the name Candidatus Latescibacterota bacterium. RNAcentral describes it as "bacterial SSU rRNA". It matches the Rfam family "Bacterial small subunit ribosomal RNA", at positions 1 to 354 of the family's 1533-position model. Lineage: Bacteria; Pseudomonadati; Candidatus Latescibacterota. The record is from RNAcentral.
ACGGAGAGUUUGAUCCUGGCUCAGAACUAACGCUAGUGGCGUGUCUUAGUCAUGCAAGUCGAGCGAGAAAGUUCUCUUCGGAGAACGAGUACAGCGGCAAACGGGUGAGUAACGCGUGGGUAAUCUACCUUUGAGUUGGGGAUAACACUCCUAACGGAGUGCUAAUACCGAAUGUGCUGUCGGGAUCUCGGUUUCGACAUGAAAGAUGGCCUCUGCUUGCAUGCUGUCGCUCAAAGAUGAGCCCGCGUCCUAUUAGCUUGUUGGUGGGGUAACGGCCUACCAAGGCAACGAUGGGUAGCCGGCCUGAGAGGGUGAACGGCCACACUGGCACUGAGACAAGGGCCAGUCCCCUACGGGGGCCAGCAG